AGGUUGGGUAUAAACCCGGGAAACUGGGUAUAAUACCCGAUAGGUCUCGAUUGCUGGAAUGCAUCGAGAUUUAAAGCUCCGGCGCCUAAGGAUGGGUCUGCGGCCUAUCAGGUAGUAGUGGGUGUAGCGUACCUACUAGCCUACGACGGGUACGGGUUGUGAGAGCAAGAGCCCGGAGAUGGAUUCUGAGACACGAAUCCAGGCCCUACGGGGUGCAGCAGGCGCGAAAACUUUACAAUGCUGGCAACAGCGAUAAGGGAACCUCGAGUGCCAGGUUACAAAUCUGGCUGUCGAGAUGCCUAAAAAGCAUUUCAUAGCAAGGGCCGGGCAAGACCGGUGCCAGCCGCCGCGGUAACACCGGCGGCUCGAGUGGUAACCGUUAUUAUUGGGUCUAAAGGGUCUGUAGCCGGCCGGAUAAGUCUCUUGAGAAAUCUGGCAGCUUAACUGUCAGGCUUUCAGGAGAUACUGUCUGGCUCGAGGCCGGGAGAGGUGAGAGGUACUUCAGGGGUAGGGGUGAAAUCUUGUAAUCCUUGAAGGACCACCAGUGGCGAAGGCGUCUCACCAGAACGGACCUGACGGCAAGGGACGAAAGCUAAGGGCACGAACCGGAUUAGAUACCCGGGUAGUCCUAGCCGUAAACGAUACUCGCUAGGUGUCGGCCACGGUGCGACCGUUGUCGGUGCCGUAGGGAAGCCGUGAAGCGAGCCACCUGGGAAGUACGGCCGCAAGGCUGAAACUUAAAGGAAUUGGCGGGGGAGCACCACAACGGGUGGAG
This 775-nucleotide ribosomal RNA is filed under the name uncultured archaeon. Its description in RNAcentral is "bacterial SSU rRNA". It matches the Rfam family "Archaeal small subunit ribosomal RNA", at positions 117 to 893 of the family's 1478-position model. The record is from RNAcentral.